GCUCGCCUAGCUCAAUCGGAUAGAGCGUAAGACUUUUACGGCGGUGUAACUGUUCUGAAGGCUGCGAGUUCGACCCUCGCAGAGGGCU
This is a non-coding RNA of Gymnopus androsaceus JB14, 88 nucleotides long. The record is from the annotation of a GenBank genome assembly. NCBI's taxonomy places the organism in Eukaryota, Fungi, Basidiomycota, Agaricomycetes, Agaricales, Omphalotaceae.